ACUGUGAAGCAUCCUGUUAAGUCAGGCAACGAGCGAGACCCACGUCCACAGUUGCCAGCAUACCUCCGGGGUGAUGGGUACACUGUGGAGACCGCCGCUGCUAAAGCGGAGGAAGGAGUGGGCAACGGUAGGUCAGUAUGCCCCGAAUCUCCCGGGCUACACGCGGGCUACAAUGGUUGGUACAAUGGGCAUCUACCCCGAAAGGGGAAGGAAAUCUCUUAAAGCCAAUCGUAGUUCGGAUUGAGGGCUGCAACUCGCCCUCAUGAAGCUGGAAUCCGUAGUAAUCGCGUUUCAACAGAACGCGGUGAAUACGUCCCUGCUCCUU
Molecule: ribosomal RNA, 325 nt
Filed under: uncultured Methanosaeta sp.
Lineage: Archaea; Methanobacteriati; Methanobacteriota; Methanomicrobia; Methanotrichales; Methanotrichaceae
Description: bacterial SSU rRNA
Rfam family: Archaeal small subunit ribosomal RNA
Source: RNAcentral